GCCCCACUGGUGAAAUUGGCAAACACAUCAGGUUUAAGCCCUGACGCUUCGGCUUACAGGUUCGAGUCCUGUGUGGGGUA
This 80-nucleotide transfer RNA is filed under the name Candidatus Riesia sp. RNAcentral describes it as "tRNA-Leu". It matches the Rfam family "tRNA". Rfam says of the family: Transfer RNA (tRNA) molecules are approximately 80 nucleotides in length. The record is from RNAcentral. Lineage: Bacteria; Pseudomonadati; Pseudomonadota; Gammaproteobacteria; Enterobacterales; Enterobacteriaceae.